Pipistrellus kuhlii (Kuhl's pipistrelle) is the source of this 176-nucleotide long non-coding RNA. RefSeq lists it as uncharacterized. The transcript has 3 exons. NCBI's taxonomy places the organism in Eukaryota, Metazoa, Chordata, Mammalia, Chiroptera, Vespertilionidae. The record is from RefSeq and is a predicted model, not a curated record.
GACAGAAGAGAAACAUUAAAAUGACUGACAAGGAAAAUCAGAAGAUCUUAAAGCAGGUCAGUAUAUUUUUCUCCUUAUAUAAUUCCUCUGAAAUUUGGCAAUGCUUAAUAAAUCAUGGCAAUACAUUUAUUUGCAUAAAUUCAAUAAGGCUGGUUUCUAAUAGUGGUUUUAUUGAC